CCUGUGGCCAGGCCGCUUCCCGUCCCGAUGAACUGCCAAGCUGCCUGCGCAGAGGCUGUGGGCGCCGUGCCCUCGCCGGCGGCCUGCGAGCGGGCGCCGAGGCGGCUACACUCUCCCCAGCACUGAGUGUUGUCUGCGUCUUGAGUCUCGGCCCUCGUGUGGGGGCUCCCUCUGCACCCCGGGGACUAACUGGCACACGUGCCGUUCACGGGUCCACCAGGCACUCAGAGCCCAACCGCGGGGUGCUGCCUUCCUGGUUCUGAGCUGGGGGAGCCGGGGCCGCGGUGUCGACGCGAGUCUUUGUAGAUCUGCGGUUUGUGGAUAUUUCCUCCCAAUCUCCAUCCCUGCAUUUUCCCAACAGGAUCUUUCAAACGAGCAGCAGUUUUUAAUUUUGAUGAUGUCCAAUUCAUCAAGGCUUUUUUUUCCCCCUGUAAGGUUCAUGUUUUUUUGUGUUCUAAGAAAUAGUUGCCUAAUCCAAGGUUACAAAGCCUUCUCUCCUGUUUUCUGUAAAAACCCUACAGUUUCACAUUUCUUGUUUAGAUCUGCGAUUCAUUUCAAGUCUGAUCUUAUGUACGGUGACAGGCACGGAUCGAGGUCAAGUCUUUCUGCAUGUGGUUACCCCGUCUUCCCAGCAACUUCUUUCCAUGGAAUUACUUUGGCACCUUUGAUGAAAAUCAGUUGGCCGUGUGUGUGGGUCCGAUUUCUGGACUUUGUGAUCUGUCCUGCCAGCAAAGCACUGUCCUGAUUACUGUGACUUUUAUGCUAAGCCUUGAAAUCAGGUCCUGUUAAUCCUCCAAGUUUGCUCAUUUCAGAAGUGUGAUGCCUGCCAGGCUUCACAUGCUCAUGUAAAUCUUGCAAUCAGCCGUCGGUUUCCAUGAAAAAAAUGAAACCCUGCUGGGAUUCCGACGGCCUUGCACUGGUGGGGAGACGGGCUCCGGCGUUCCCCAAGUUUUCUGACCGGGAACAUGCGACCAUAUACCUGGAAUGCCGUGUAGCUUGUGGGACCCAUUACACAGAACUUGCUAGAUAUGUCACUAAGUGCUUUGUACUUGUGAAGCGGCUUAAGUGACGCCUUUUCUCCAUCCCAUUUUUGGACUGUUGGCUGCUGGGAUGUAGAAGUACAGCUGAUUUUUUCAUAUUGACCUUGUGUCCUGUGUCUUUGCUAACCUAAUUAGCUCUAGAGGGAUUUCUGUUCAUUUGUUUUUGUUUGUUUUUUGUAGAUUCUUUAGGAUUUUCUAUGGAGACGAUCAUGUUGUCCCAAAUAAAGUUAAUCUUAUUUUUUCCUUUCCAAUCCAUAUGCUUUUUAUUUCUUGUUUCUCCCUGACAGCACUGGCGAGGCCUCCCGCUCCACUCUCGGCGGUGAGGAGAGAGCAGAUGUCCCUUCCUGCUGCUGGCGUGGAGGGCAGAGCACUGCUCUUUCCGUGGGAGUGACGUUAGCUGUGGGGCUUCUGCAGGUGCUGUUGACCAGGCUAGAUUCCUUUUCUUCCCAGUUUGCUGGGAACAGAGAGCCAUCAAGAACGGCUGUUGGAUCUCUGUCAGCGGCCUCUGCCCUGCUGAGAUGGCCGCCCUCCUCUCCCCUCUUGCUUGGGAACCCAGCGAGCGACACCAACUGAUUUCAGAGUGGAACCCUGUAUCCCUCCCUGAGACCCGCUUGGUCCUGAGGCGCCCGGACCUGCUGAGACUUGUGGACCGUGACC
RNAcentral lists this long non-coding RNA (1697 nucleotides) under Marmota monax (woodchuck). Lineage: Eukaryota; Metazoa; Chordata; Mammalia; Rodentia; Sciuridae. The record is from RNAcentral.